This 256-nucleotide non-coding RNA is filed under the name Clostridium sp. RNAcentral's name for it is "T-box sequence". It matches the Rfam family "T-box leader". From Rfam's summary of the family: Uncharged tRNA acts as the effector for transcription antitermination of genes in the T-box leader family. The record is from RNAcentral. Lineage: Bacteria; Bacillati; Bacillota; Clostridia; Eubacteriales; Clostridiaceae.
UUAAAAACUAUGACGGGGAAUAGUAAAUAAGGUGAAAAUUCAAAGCGAAUCGGUGGAUGGUGAAAGCCCGAUAAUAUAGCUUUAUAGAAAGCAGCCCUCGAGUUUCUUAUCGAGAAAGGGGAAUUGAUUUUUUAAUUCCUACAAUAGAGACAGACGUUUCCUCACGUUACAGAGGAUUGGGAUUUUUUAUUCCAAUUGAGGGAGUGCUUUAUAGCACUAACUAGGGUGGUACCGCGAAAAGUCUUUCGUCCCUUUA